This 68-nucleotide transfer RNA is filed under the name Bradypus variegatus (Brown-throated sloth). RNAcentral describes it as "tRNA-Val". Lineage: Eukaryota; Metazoa; Chordata; Mammalia; Pilosa; Bradypodidae. The record is from RNAcentral.
CAAAGUGUAGCUUUUUCAAAAGUAUCUGGCUUACACCCACAAGAUUUCAACUCUUCAGACCACUUUGA